Pongo pygmaeus (Bornean orangutan) is the source of this 1240-nucleotide long non-coding RNA. RefSeq lists it as uncharacterized. The transcript has 3 exons. The record is from RefSeq and is a predicted model, not a curated record. Lineage: Eukaryota; Metazoa; Chordata; Mammalia; Primates; Hominidae.
AGCGCGGACGCUCUCACGCACGGCGUGAGUUCGUCCCUCUGCGCACGCCCCGGUUUCCUCGCGUCCGCGGCUGCUCACCCGAACUCCAGAUGACCUCCAGGGAGUUGGAAACUGCCAGCUCCAAUCGAGCCUUUCCUUUUCCCCAGGAGGACGCAACGCGGAUGCUUGCAGCUGGUCACCACGACUCCGACUCCGACUCCGGGCCGCCGCCCGGGCAGCUUUCCGCUGGCCGUCAUAGCGCGCGGGAGGACGCGCCUGGCAGCAGCAGGAAGUGACGCGCUCACUGCCCCGUCCCGCGGCCGCAGCCAAUCUCUCCCCGCGAGGGCGGAGGCGCCGAAAUCAAAGCGAGAGCGCCUGGGCCUCUCCAGUUGUCCGCGGGUCUUGCUCUGUUGCCUAGGCUGGAGUGCAGUGGUACAAUCACGGCUCACUGUAGCCUUGACCUCCUGGGAUCAAGGUCUUGCUGGAGGUUUGUUAAAUUUAAUCUUUUCAAAAACCAGAUCCUUGGCUGGGUGUGGUUGCCCACACCUGUCAUCUGAGCACUUUGGGAGGCUGAGGCAGGAGGAUCGCUUGAACCCAUGAGUUGGAGACCAGCCUGGGCAACAUAGAGAGAUUCUGUCCCUAAAAAAAUAAAAUAAAAAAAUUAACCAAGCCUGGUGGCACACAUCUGUGGUCCCAAACUACUCCAGAGGCUGAGGUGGGAGGAUCCCUUGAGCAUGGGAGGUUGAGGCUGCAGUGAGCCGUGAUCGAGUCACUGCACUCCAGCCUGGGUGACAGACCAAGACCCUGUCAAUCAGUCAAUCAAUCAAUCAAUCAAUAGCUUCCCUGGAGACUCCAUUCUGCCACCAGCUUUGGUAACUAGGGGUCGACUGUCAGGCCUCUGAGCUCAAACCUGCACAUGUACAUCCAGAUGGCCUGAAGCAAGUGAAGAAUCACAAAUGAAGGGAAAUUGGCCAGUUCCUGCCUUAACUGAUGACAUUCCACCAUUGUGAUUUGUUCCUGCCCCACCUCAACUGAGCGAUUAACCUUGUGAAAUUCCUUCUCCUGGCUCAGAACCUCCCCCACUGAGCACCUUGUGACCCCCACCCCUGCCCAUAAGAGAAAAACCCCCUUUGACUGUAAUUUUCCACUACUCAUCCAAAUCCUAUAAAACAGCCCCACCCAUAUCUCCCUUUGCUGACUCUUUUUGGGACUCAGCCCGCCUGCACCCAGUUAAAAUAAACAGCCUUAUUGCUCACACAAA